CCUACGGGAGGCUGUAGUGAGGAAUAUUGGUCAAUGGACGCAAGUCUGAACCAGCCAUGCCGCGUGCAGGAAGACGGCUCUAUGAGUUGUAAACUGCUUUUGUACGAGGGUAAACGCAGAUACGCGUAUCUGUCUGAAAGUAUCGUACGAAUAAGGAUCGGCUAACUCCGUGCCAGCAGCCGCGGUAAUACGGAGGAUUCAAGCGUUAUCCGGAUUUAUUGGGUUUAAAGGGUGCGUAGGCGGUCGGAUAAGUUAGAGGUGAAAUCCCGAGGCUCAACUUCGGAAUUGCCUCUGAUACUGUUCGGCUAGAGAGUAGGUGCGGUAGGCGGAAUGUAUGGUGUAGCGGUGAAAUGCUUAGAGAUCAUACAGAACACCGAUUGCGAAGGCAGCAUACCAAGCUACUUCUGACGUUGAGGCACGAAAGCGUGGGGAGCAAACAGGAUUAGAUACCCUUGUAGUC
This 460-nucleotide ribosomal RNA is filed under the name uncultured bacterium. Its description in RNAcentral is "partial 16S ribosomal RNA". It matches the Rfam family "Bacterial small subunit ribosomal RNA", at positions 338 to 795 of the family's 1533-position model. The record is from RNAcentral.